Molecule: ribosomal RNA, 448 nt
Filed under: uncultured bacterium
Lineage: Bacteria
Description: bacterial SSU rRNA
Rfam family: Bacterial small subunit ribosomal RNA
Source: RNAcentral
UGGGGAAUCUUGGACAAUGGGGGAAACCCUGACCCAGCAACGCCGCGUGAAGGAUGAAGUAUUUCGGUAUGUAAACUUCGAAAGAAUAGGAAGAAUAAAAUGACGGUACUAUUUUUAAGGUCCGGCUAACUACGUGCCAGCAGCCGCGGUAAUACGUAGGGACCAAGCGUUGUUCGGAUUUACUGGGCGUAAAGGGCGCGUAGGCGGCGUAAUAAGUCAUUUGUGAAAUCUCCGGGCUUAACUCGGAGCGGCCAAGUGAUACUGUUAGGCUAGAGUGCAGAAAGGGCAAUCGGAAUUCUUGGUGUAGCGGUGAAAUGCGUAGAUAUCAAGAGGAACACCUGAGGCGAAGGCGGGUUGCUAGGCUGACACUGACGCUGAGGCGCGAAAGCUAGGGUAGCAAACGGGAUUAGAUACCCGCGUAGUCCCUGAGCGGGCUGGCAAGGCGCAU